RNAcentral lists this ribosomal RNA (331 nucleotides) under uncultured bacterium. Its description in RNAcentral is "bacterial SSU rRNA". It matches the Rfam family "Bacterial small subunit ribosomal RNA", at positions 568 to 898 of the family's 1533-position model. The record is from RNAcentral.
UUCGUAGGCGGUGCGGCAAGUCGGAAGUGAAAUCUCUGGGCUCAACUCAGAGACUGCUCCCGAAACUGCCGUGCUAGAGUGCGGGAGAGGCGAGUGGAAUUACAGGUGUAGCGGUGAAAUGCGUAGAUAUCUGUAGGAACACCCGUGGCGAAGGCGGCUCGCUGGACCGCAACUGACGCUGAGGAACGAAAGCUAGGGGAGCAAACAGGAUUAGAUACCCUGGUAGUCCUAGCCCUAAACGAUCAGGACUUGGGGUGCAUCCCGGUUGGGGGUGCGUCCCGUAGCUAACGCGUUAAGUCCUGCGCCUGGGGAGUACGGUCGCAAGGCUGAA